UAGUGAUUAACGCGAAGAACCUUACCCAGGCUUGAACAGCGAGUGACAUCCGGCGAAAGCCGGCUCCCGCAAGGGCACUCGUAGAGGUGCUGCAUGGCUGUCGUCAGCUCGUGUCGUGAGAUGUUGGGUUAAGUCCCGCAACGAGCGCAACCCUUGUCCUCUGUUGCCAUCAGGUUAUGCUGGGCACUCUGAGGAGACUGCCGGUGAUAAACCGGAGGAAGGUGGGGAUGACGUCAAGUCAGCAUGGCCUUUAUGUCUGGGGCUACACACGUGCUACAAUGGCCGGUACAAACCGUCGCGAUGCCGCAAGGUGGAGCUAAUCGGAGAAAGCCGGUCUCAGUUCGGAUUGCAGGCUGCAACUCGCCUGCAUGAAGUUGGAAUCGCUAGUAAUCGCGGAUCAGCACGCCGCGGUGAAUACGUUCCCGGGCCUUGUCACACCGAAUCGAAUUC
RNAcentral lists this ribosomal RNA (450 nucleotides) under uncultured soil bacterium. Its description in RNAcentral is "bacterial SSU rRNA". It matches the Rfam family "Bacterial small subunit ribosomal RNA", at positions 951 to 1384 of the family's 1533-position model. The record is from RNAcentral.